Molecule: non-coding RNA, 74 nt
Organism: Phrynosoma platyrhinos (Desert horned lizard)
Lineage: Eukaryota; Metazoa; Chordata; Lepidosauria; Squamata; Phrynosomatidae
Source: the annotation of a GenBank genome assembly
GCCAGUGUGGUGCAGUGGUUUUGAGUGCUGGACUAGAACUUUAGAAGACCAGGGUUCAAAUCCCUGCCCAGCCA